ACGGCCAUACCACAUUGGAAACGUCGGUUCUUGUCCGAUCACCGAAGUUAAGCAAUGUCGGGCCCGGUCAGUACUUGGGAGGGUGACCACCUGGGAACACCAGGUACUGUACCU
This 114-nucleotide ribosomal RNA is filed under the name Cordylochernes scorpioides. Lineage: Eukaryota; Metazoa; Arthropoda; Arachnida; Pseudoscorpiones; Chernetidae. The record is from RNAcentral.